Molecule: ribosomal RNA, 492 nt
Filed under: uncultured bacterium
Lineage: Bacteria
Description: partial 16S ribosomal RNA
Rfam family: Bacterial small subunit ribosomal RNA
Source: RNAcentral
AGUGAACGCUGGCGGUAUGCCUAACACAUGCAAGUCGAACGGCAGCACAGUAAGAGCUUGCUCUUACGGGUGGCGAGUGGCGGACGGUUGAGGAAUACAUCGGAAUCUACUUUUUCGUGGGGGGUAACGUAGGUAAACUUGCGCUAAUACCGCAUACGACCUACGGGUGAAAGCAGGGGAUCUUCGUACCUUGCGCGAUUGAAUGAGCCGGUGUCGGAUUAGCUAUUUGGCGGGGUAAAGGCCCACCAAGGCGACUAUCCGUAGCCGGUCUGAGAGGAUGGUCAGCCACCCUGGAACUGAAACACGGUCCCGACUCCUGAGGGAGGGACCAGUGGGGAAUAUUGGACAACGGGGGCAAACCUGAUCCAACCAUACCGCGUGGGUGAAGAAGGCCCCCGGUGUGGAAAGACCUUUUGUUGGGAAAGAAAAGCAGCAGGUUAAGACCACGCUGUUCUGACGGUACCCAAAGAAUAAGCACCGGCUAACUUCGUG